UACAGAGGAGCCAAGCGUUGUCCGGAUUGACUGGGCGUAAAGCGCACGCAGGCGGUUGCGCGCGGGGGGUGUGAAAUCUGGCCGCUUAACGGCCAGGCGCCAUCCCAUACGGCGCGACUGGAGUGAUGCAGAGGUCGAUGGAAUUGCCGGUGUAGUGGUGAAAUGCGUAGAUAUGUGGAGGAACACCGAUGGCGAAGGCAGCCCCCUGGGCUAGUACUGACGCUCAUGCACAAAAGCGUGGGGAGCAAACAGG
This 253-nucleotide ribosomal RNA is filed under the name uncultured bacterium. Its description in RNAcentral is "partial 16S ribosomal RNA". It matches the Rfam family "Bacterial small subunit ribosomal RNA", at positions 524 to 776 of the family's 1533-position model. The record is from RNAcentral.